Paramuricea clavata is the source of this 233-nucleotide non-coding RNA. The record is from the annotation of a GenBank genome assembly. NCBI's taxonomy places the organism in Eukaryota, Metazoa, Cnidaria, Anthozoa, Malacalcyonacea, Plexauridae.
GCUAUUCGCAUGACAAGGCACUGCAAACUCUAUUCAGGGAAGAUAAUAGAGUUUCAAAACUUUACAAUUGCUCCAAUAAACCAGUGAAUGCAAGCGAGGAGCAAUUAGUUUCAGAGUGUUGCACUGUCUUUUUCUGUUCGAGUGUACUCCUACGUUUAUUUUGUAUCAUCAACACUCUGCACGUUGGAGUGGACUAUUUAAUUAUUUAUUUAUUAUGCCGAAUAUUGGGGGGG